Molecule: long non-coding RNA, 1213 nt
Organism: Mauremys reevesii (Reeves's turtle)
Lineage: Eukaryota; Metazoa; Chordata; Testudines; Geoemydidae
Exons: 4
Source: RefSeq, a predicted model, not a curated record
CCCUGUUGGAAGUUGUGAGAGGGUAAACCAGGCUUUGUGGCCCCCUGCUGGAGGCCCUGCUAAUCUGCUUUGCCCUGCACCAGGAAAGGAUCAGCAAAGGUGGGUCCUCCCGGCCUGCCUAGAGAGGCCUCACAGAAGCAGCCAAUCAGAGUCCAGCAGGCUCAGGUAAAAGGAGCUGCAGGGCCUUAGCGGGUUAGUUCCUGCCUGAGACCAGAGGUCUAGUAAGGGUUGCUCCUCUCUGGGCUUGAGGGAUAACCAGAGUUUGAUUCUGGAUGUGCUUGUUUAAACUGGGAGAGAGAACUUGAACCCUAAGGGAAGGGAUGAAGAUAAAGGGGCAAGGUGGAAAGAGGCCCAGGGAAGUAGCAGUAACAAAUUGAAAGGAGCAAUACAUGGCUGCUGGUAUAGAGUUCCUGUGUUGCAACCAAGAGUUGUGGUGAGCCUGGGUUUCCCCACCGGCCACCAGCAAAAUGGCAUAAACCCCAAGAAAGGGACAAGGCUUGUUUGGAAGUCAGAGCAAAGGGCUGAAUUUAAAGAGCCCCAAACUGGGGCUGAAGACCCUGAUAGACAGUUUUGUUGGACUCUGUGCUACACCAGAAGGGAUCCAUUUUGAAGGUGAGACCUGGCCGAGGGGCUGAGCCAGUGAAGACCUGCCAAGCGAGGUUGACAACUUACAGUGGGCACCGGGAGCAAGAAAAGGACCGCAGUACUCCAUGCAACAGCAGGAGAUUCUCAAGAGGAGUCUUCAGCAGCACCACAUCCCAAAGGCAUCAAUUCUCUUCUUGUCAGCAGCAUUCAUUCCUCACAAUUCACAUCCAUAGGUCGCUAUGGAAAAAAUAAGCUUUUCACCUUUGUACAUUCUGAGAUGCCACAAUUAUUGCAAAGUUUUUCAUAACAGAGGCCAGGGACAGUGAUCAGUCAAGGUAAAUGAAUAAAGAGGAAGGAGGGGAGGAGAAAGGACGCUCUAUCAGUAACUACAUAAGGAGCCACUGGCAUUGGCAAGUGUGUCAUCUGGAAGUAGAGCACGAGACUUUAAAGCUCCUGAUUAAAAGCCAUGGAUAUUGUUCACUUCAGAAGCAAUAUUCUACUUCGUAUCAUUACUGCAGUUUGUGCUCUGUAGAUCCACCUUCUUGUAAAGUAAAUGUGAGUUUGCCCCUCAUGGGGGAAGGAAAACAUGUCUUGAGUUACAGCCCUUCAAGUUCGCCUUACCAGUUAG